GAUGAAGACGGAUCAGAAUGGGGUCCUCUUGAUGAAUUCUGCCCCGGGAACUUCCUCUGCGCUUCUCCAAAGGCUGCCUGUGUGUAUGCAUAUGUCUCCGCACGGGCUGCUGGUUUGGAGUAUACUGCUUGACAGACAUCAGACAGGGCAAGGGACUCCUCAGGAGUGAGACCCUGGAUGUACUGUAGCCUUAGCAGGCCAGGGUCAUGGGUCGCCUAGAUGACAAUGCCAAGAAGCGAAUUGUAGAACUUCGGAAAGCAGGGCUGAGUUUUCGAAAAAUCAAGAAGGUCCUGGAGCUUGACAAUAUUCGUGUCACACCACAGGCUGUCUAUCUCUUCUUGAAGCGAAAGAAUGUGGAUCCCAGGCCCUUACCUGGCAGCAACCAUCCUCUUCCUCCCAGGGACCAGAACAGCCGGCAGCUGGCGCUCAGUCGGGCUGGCUGGGAGGAUGAGCAACUCUGGGACUUGUUGCAAGAGAAUGAGGUGAAGCCAAAGGAGUCCUUGGAAAGCCAGCCAGCUGGCCUCAGGGGAGAGCCUGGAGCUGGUCAGGGCUGGGACGGCAAAGAGGGCAUUAGGAUUGUCAGCGUGACAUCUCUGNNNNNNNNNNGCUGGGACGGCAAAGAGGGCAUUAGGAUUGUCAGCGUGACAUCUCUGUGUCAGGGUGGUGGAGCCCACCCCAAAGAUACUUGUUCCGAUGAAGCUCCCCAGGCACCCGCUAACAGUGAUAUUGGGAUUGGGCUGGGGGCUUCUGGUCCAGUGAGCCAGCCUGCUUCUCCAUAUCCACUGAGUCGGGGUCGGAACUCUGCCCUCCUUGUCAAGAAGAAGAUUGUGGACAGAGCCAUCUUCUUCCACAAGAAAGCCACUGUCCAGAAUGCCCAGAGGGGCACUAGCUCCUCUUCUCUCCCUCUCCUGGUAGGAGUGCAGUCUCCUGGGACCAACGCUGGCCUUCCAGACCUUAAGGACUCCAGCCCACAUGUUCAGGACAUGGGCACUCAGACCCGACUGCCUUGGGUCAGUGCCCAGGGCCUGGCUGAGAAGCUGGAUGCAAUGCAGCGGGCUGUGCAGCAGGUCCUACAGGUGCUCCAAGUGCUGACGGAUCAGCAGAGCCGGCUAGAACAGCAGCAGGAGCAGCAGCAGCGCUGGCAACAGCAGGUGUUGGGGACUCUGCAGCAGCUCAGGGGGCCUGACCAGAGUCAGGGUCCUGGGACCAGGGAAACCCAGGACUUAGGGGGCCCUGGGACUCUUGAAGGACCUAAUUUCCACCAGUUUAAGAUGGAACUUCUUUGACCCUCUGACAUAGGUGUGACAUGCCUGAAGGGGCAGGACCUUCAGCUUUGGGAAAUAAGGGGUCUGUGUCUUGGUACCAUCUCAGCUGAAGACAGCCCUCAUAAGAUGGAAAUUGUGGGCAGGAAACACUGCCCCUCUCCCUCUGACCCUUAUGUCUAUGUGCAACACACAGGCAGUAGCCCUCAUCCUUUGCCUGUGUUAGCGCCUUCUCCCGACAAGCCCUGCCCAGCUUCAGGGCCUGUGGAGGGUGCUGGAGGUGGGGUGGGGGUGGUUUAUUUACAUACAAGCCUGGGAUUUGGGAGCAGGUGACCAAGGGAGGCUUUAUGACUUUUUCCUUUCCUGGGGCUUAGACUCUGAGAGAGUAAGUUUCUUUACCUUCAUAUGCUAUUAUAGGUGAGUGAAGGGCUCAGGUGUUUCUUUAAGAUAGGGGAUGAGUCAUGGAUUUCUGGUGACUACUAAGCAUGUUCCAAGGCUUAGAGCACAGUGUGGGGCCAGGAUUAAGGACAUCGUUGGUGGUGGGGGGGAACAGUAGCUCUAUGAUACUAAGACCAGUGAGGAUCAUUGCAAGGGAAUAGAUGUUCUCAUAAUGGAGAUGCUUUUCCAUCAGGCAUUCACAGUUUUAACGUGAUAUAAAUCUACUCUACCUUGGACCAGUCUGAUGGGUAGGUAGAAUCCUCAUCCUAGACUCUUUUCUGCCUGCUUGCGGAGGUUGUCAUCUUUGGGUGGAAGAAGGGCAGACAGCUGGCUUUUAUGCACAGCAGCCUGGACAGGAAUAGGGUCCUGAAAGACUCAGGAAGUUACUUGGCUGACGUAAUGCAUUUGUUAUCAUUAUAAAAGUAGAAACAAGGAGACAAGAGAAGACAGUAUAGUCUCCCCAGGUUUCCAAGUCUAGAAACCAUAUCUAUGUCAUUAAAUAGUUAAAUGAGCACAAUCCUGUUGUUAUGUCUUCAUUUUUCUGUCUGUGUCAUAACUGUAGUAGAUCACUAAUGGGUCUGGACAAGCCCAGUCAAUGCUGGGACUCAGCCUUGUAGGAAAAUGUUAACCACUUCUCACCUAGGGGACUGACUCAUGCAAAUCAAUUUUCAAGUCAGUUGAAUUAAAUAAAGUAAGUAGUGUGGUCUAGUGAAUGGAGUGC
RNAcentral lists this long non-coding RNA (2421 nucleotides) under Vombatus ursinus (common wombat). RNAcentral's name for it is "lncRNA (ENSVURG00010009601.1)". Lineage: Eukaryota; Metazoa; Chordata; Mammalia; Diprotodontia; Vombatidae. The record is from RNAcentral.